CAGACCUAUCCAACCAUGGCCGGCAAAUGCGUUACAGAUAUUAGUCUCCAAGUUCUUGACCCGAAGAUGGUAUGGGUUCUGGUUUCGGUCAGGGUCCGUCUUGAUUUCAAGAUCCUCUGCUCCCGCUGCCUGAUCUUUUCGAUGGCCGCCGCCGCGGCCGCCACGUCGUCGAAGCAAUGGCCGCCACCGACGCCGUCGCCACCGUCGCCACAGCCGCCACCGACGCCGUCGCCACAGCCACCACUUUACUCUUUCGGCGUCCCGUGGCCUGAGUUCAACGAAGGCUUGUCCUACACCGACGUAGUCCGAUCCCGGAGCUCCGCUCUAACCCUAAUCGAUUUCUACUCCUCUAAGUACAAGCACUCGGCGCCGUUGGAAGGUUGGCUUCACAGAAUCAAGAAUGGCCAGAUUACUGUCGAUGGAGAAAUGAUAACCGAUCCUUCCAUGGUUCUCAGGGAUGGUUCUAAAGUGGUUUAUUAUCGUCUGCCUUGGAAAGAGCCAUCUGCACCAUACCUGCUUGAAGUUCUUUAUGAAGAUGAUGAUAUGGUUGCUUUAAAUAAACCUUCUGGUCUGCAAGUUUUACCUGGAGGACUCUUCCAACAACGAACUGUUUUAAUGCAACUUCAAUGGAAAGAAUGGAGAAAAAAUACGUUGGGUUAUUCUAAACAAGAUAGUACCCAAGAAGCACAUCCUGUACCUGUUCAUCGCUUGGGAAGGGGAACAUCAGGUAUAUUGCUUUGCGCCAAGACAAAGCUCGCAAAAAGUUGCCUUGCGGCUUAUUUUGCCAAGGGCACUGAAAAUAUUGGAGAAAACAGAUGUGAAGGAAAGCCUGGAAUGCGAAGAAUUUCGAAAUUCUAUCGAUCAUUGGUCACUGGGGUAAUUGUAAACAAUGAGGUUUUAAUUAAACAGCCUAUUGGAGUGAUGCACUAUCCAGGGGUAGCGAAUGGGCUUUAUGUUGCAUCUUCAUCAGGGAAGCCAGCUAUGAGCAAGGUUUAUGUUCUCGAAAGAGAUCUCCAAAGAAACCAAACAUUGGUUCAGGUUGAGAUUCACUCCGGACGACCGCAUCAAAUUCGCAUUCACCUUGCAUCCAUUGGUCAUCCACUUUUAGGUGAUCCUCUUUAUGGUAUUGGUGGGUGUCCUAAACCCUUUGAGCCAGAUCCUAUAGAUGAUGGUUUUGCAGAAGAUGGUGGUUAUCAAAAACCAGUGCACUCUGUACCUGGAGACUGUGGCUAUUUCUUGCAUGCACAUCAACUUGUUCUUCAUCACCCAACCAUACAUGAGAUGGUAGGAAUCACUGCUCCGCUGCCACCCAUCCUCCAAACACGGGAAGAACUAGAUCGAACAAGACCAGCAGAAAAUGGCAAUGAUGGCAGGUAGUUGUUGUUGAUGCCACUGCAGUUGCCAGGGCAGAAGGAUAAACAAUGUCCAGUGGGCCCUCAUAUUUUGAACAGAAUAUUUUGAUCCUUUGCUGCUUGGGUGGUUCCCCGCAGGCUUGACCCCUUGAGGCUCUAUCACAGGCUAACUAAAUCAACUACUUCCACGAUUUUUCACCGUGAUGCUGUCUUUGCCAAGUUAUGUGCGGUGACAUCAAGUUGUUCUACCGAAAGUUAAGUCAUAUUGUUGCUUGUUUUGGUUUGCCAUCAAUAUCUGUCUCAAGGGAUGAUAUAUAUUUUAAUGUUAUUUUAGUCAGCGAUAUUCACCUACCAUCCUACGCUUUCCAGGUAUAUUAGGAACAGCUAUCGUGAAGGGCUCCAUCAAUGUCAUAGAUUCCGUUCUCAUUUUGUUGGAAGAAAAUUCCAUCAUUCACAGAACACCAUGUUCUUCACCAUCUGUGUCGUUUGUCUUGCUGCUACUGUAUCAUUUCAAAUUUUUUCACCUUUCUCGUUGAGCCAAGGAGCUUCAAGGUUGCAAGCGAUAUUAUUCAUUUACAUGUGAGGUUAACCAUUGAUUGGGGUACUGCUUGUGUUGA
RNA transcript from Phoenix dactylifera (date palm), 1969 nucleotides. It is a transcript of the gene named Pseudouridine synthase family protein, with no coding region annotated. The record is from RefSeq and is a predicted model, not a curated record. Lineage: Eukaryota; Viridiplantae; Streptophyta; Magnoliopsida; Arecales; Arecaceae.